Molecule: unclassified non-coding RNA, 247 nt
Filed under: uncultured fungus
Lineage: Eukaryota; Fungi
Description: partial contains 5.8S ribosomal RNA, internal transcribed spacer 2, and large subunit ribosomal RNA
Rfam family: 5.8S ribosomal RNA (bases 1-53)
Source: RNAcentral
GAACGCACAUUGCGCCCGCCAGUAUUCUGGCGGGCAUGCCUGUUCGAGCGUCAUUGCAACCCCUCAGGCCCUGCCUGGCGUUGGAGGACUGCGCUACGCAGCCUCCCAAAGCAAGCGGCGGCGGCGCCCCAAAUCCGAACGCAGUAGUUCUCUCUCGUUCUGGGUGCUGGGACGGCGUCCGGCCGGAAAACCCCCAUCUUAUAACGUGGUUGACCUCGAAUCAGGUAGGAAUACCCGCUGAACUUAA